CCCGUUGUACACACCGCCCGUCACACCAUGGGAGUGGGUUGCAAAAGAAGUAGGUAGCUUAACCUUCGGGAGGGCGCUUACCACUUUGUGAUUCAUGACUGGGGUG
Molecule: ribosomal RNA, 106 nt
Filed under: uncultured bacterium
Lineage: Bacteria
Description: partial 16S ribosomal RNA
Rfam family: Bacterial small subunit ribosomal RNA
Source: RNAcentral